RNAcentral lists this ribosomal RNA (404 nucleotides) under uncultured beta proteobacterium. Its description in RNAcentral is "bacterial SSU rRNA". It matches the Rfam family "Bacterial small subunit ribosomal RNA", at positions 39 to 444 of the family's 1533-position model. The record is from RNAcentral. Lineage: Bacteria; Pseudomonadati; Pseudomonadota; Betaproteobacteria.
GCGGCAUGCCUUACACAUGCAAGUCGAACGGUAACAGGGUAGCUUGCUCCGCUGACGAGUGGCGAACGGGUGAGUAAUAUAUCGGAACGUGCCCUANAGUGGGGGAUAACUAGUCGAAAGAUUAGCUAAUACCGCAUACGAUCUAAGGAUGAAAGUGGGGGAUCGCAAGACCUCAUGCUCGUGGAGCGGCCGAUAUCUGAUUAGCUAGUUGGUAGGGUANAANCCUACCAAGGCAUCGAUCAGUAGCUGGUCUGAGAGGACGACCAGCCACACUGGGACUGANACACGGCCCAGACUCCUACGGGAGGCANCAGUGGGGAAUUUUGGACAAUGGGCGCAAGCCUGAUCCANCAAUGCCGCGUGAGUGAAGAAGGCCUUCGGGUUGUAAAGCUCUUUUGUCCGGG